CAAACGGCUCUCUUAAGAGCCACACGCCUAAAUAUUAAGAAAUGUU
Non-coding RNA from Gasterosteus aculeatus (three-spined stickleback), 46 nucleotides. The record is from Rfam. Lineage: Eukaryota; Metazoa; Chordata; Actinopteri; Perciformes; Gasterosteidae.